UCGGAACGUGUCCUGUAGUGGGGGAUAGCCCGGCGAAAGCCGGAUUAAUACCGCAUACGCUCUACGGAGGAAAGGGGGGGAUCUUAGGACCUCCCGCUACAGGGGCGGCCGAUGGCAGAUUAGCUAGUUGGUGGGGUAAAGGCCUACCAAGGCGACGAUCUGUAGCUGGUCUGAGAGGACGACCAGCCACACUGGGACUGAGACACGGCCCAGACUCCUACGGGAGGCAGCAGUGGGGAAUUUUGGACAAUGGGGGCAACCCUGAUCCAGCAAUGCCGCGUGUGUGAAGAAGGCCUUCGGGUUGUAAAGCACUUUUGUCCGGAAAGAAAACGCCGUGGUUAAUACCCGUGGCGGAUGACGGUACCGGAAGAAUAAGCACCGGCUAACUACGUGCCAGCAGC
This 401-nucleotide ribosomal RNA is filed under the name Burkholderia sp. Z4_50. RNAcentral describes it as "bacterial SSU rRNA". It matches the Rfam family "Bacterial small subunit ribosomal RNA", at positions 118 to 515 of the family's 1533-position model. Lineage: Bacteria; Pseudomonadati; Pseudomonadota; Betaproteobacteria; Burkholderiales; Burkholderiaceae. The record is from RNAcentral.